Molecule: non-coding RNA, 342 nt
Organism: Danio rerio (zebrafish)
Lineage: Eukaryota; Metazoa; Chordata; Actinopteri; Cypriniformes; Danionidae
Source: RefSeq, a predicted model, not a curated record
CACAAGCUACUGGGCAGAUGUGUGGACAGCUAUGAGCCAAACUUGGGACGUUUGGUUUUUAGGUGUGACCGUCUGGGCAGCAGAAACAAGACAACUAAUCAUAGUUGAGUUGAGAUUAGUAUUAUUAACUUGACUAGUUUGGUUGCAGACUUGUUCAAUACUUAACAAUUUGUAUAAGUUACAAGCUCAAUGGUCCUGCUAUCAAUGUUUGUGUAACUUAAAUUCAUUACAGUUUAGAUACAAUCAAAUGUCCAAACCAUCUCUGAGUGAAUGACAUCAAGGAAACAGGAUCAAAAGAUCAUUCAUUAUAGACCGUUUCAUAGUUGGUUAUAUUUUUCAGGU